This 409-nucleotide ribosomal RNA is filed under the name uncultured Glomus. Its description in RNAcentral is "SSU rRNA". It matches the Rfam family "Eukaryotic small subunit ribosomal RNA", at positions 780 to 1187 of the family's 1831-position model. Lineage: Eukaryota; Fungi; Glomeromycota; Glomeromycetes; Glomerales; Glomeraceae. The record is from RNAcentral.
GCAGGCUCGCGCUUGAAUACAUUAGCAUGGAAUAAUGAAAUAGGACGUUUGACUCUAUUUUGUUGGUUUCUAGGAUCGACGUAAUGAUUAAUAGGGAUAGUUGGGGGCAUUAGUAUUCAAUUGUCAGAGGUGAAAUUCUUGGAUUUAUUGAAGACUAACUACUGCGAAAGCAUUUGCCAAGGAUGUUUUCAUUAAUCAAGAACGAAAGUUAGGGGAUCGAAGACGAUCAGAUACCGUCGUAGUCUUAACCAUAAACUAUGCCGACUAGGGAUCGGAUGAUGUUAAUUUUUUAAUGACUCAUUCGGCGCCUUACGGGAAACCAAAGUGUUUGGGUUCCGGGGGGAGUAUGGUCGCAAGGCUGAAACUUAAAGGAAUUGACGGAAGGGCACCACCAGGGGUGGAGCCUGCG